Molecule: ribosomal RNA, 1410 nt
Filed under: Trechispora sp. PBM418
Lineage: Eukaryota; Fungi; Basidiomycota; Agaricomycetes; Trechisporales; Hydnodontaceae
Description: eukaryotic LSU rRNA
Rfam family: Eukaryotic large subunit ribosomal RNA
Source: RNAcentral
UCCGGUCCGAGACGUUCCCCUUUCACCGGGUCCCCUUCCCCGGACCACCUGUGGAGCGGUGGCCAAGAUGAACUUUUUUGAAAUCUGACCUCAAAUCAGGUAGGACUACCCGCUGAACUUAAGCAUAUCAAUAAGCGGAGGAAAAGAAACUAACAAGGAUUCCCCUAGUAACUGCGAGUGAAGCGGGAAAAGCUCAAAUUUGAAAUCUGGCGGCUCUGCCGUCCGAGUUGUAUCCUGGAGAAGCGUCUUCUGUGCCGGACCGUGUACAAGUCCCUUGGAACAGGGCGUCGUAGAGGGUGAGAAUCCCGUCUUUGACACGGACCCCCGGUGCUACGUGAUGCGCUCUCGAAGAGUCGAGUUGUUUGGGAAUGCAGCUCAAAAUGGGUGGUAAAUUCCAUCUAAAGCUAAAUAUUGGCGAGAGACCGAUAGCGAACAAGUACCGUGAGGGAAAGAUGAAAAGCACUUUGGAAAGAGAGUAAAACAGUACGUGAAAUUGUUGAAAGGGAAACGCUUGAAGUCAGUCGCGUCUGACGGAACUCAGCCUUGCUUCUGCUCGGCGCACUUUCCGUCCCGACGGGCCAGCAUCGGUUUCGGGCGGCGGACACUGGCGCGGGGAAGGUGGCAGCUCCGGCUGCGUUAUAGCCCCUCGUCGCAAACGUCGGCUGGGACCGAGGAAUCCGGCGCGAGCCUGGGAUGCUGGCGUAAUGGCUUCAAACGACCCGUCUUGAAACACGGACCAAGGAGUGCUACGUGCUCGCGAGUGUUCGGGUGGAAAACCCGGGCGCGCAAUGAAAGUGAAAGUCGAUACCCCUYGCGGGGGCACCGACGCCCGAGCCUGAUGUUUUCGGACGGCCUUGCGGUAGAGCGAGUGUGUUGCGACCCGAAAGAUGGUGAACUAUUCCUGAGGAGGGCGAAGCCAGAGGAAACUCUGGUGGAGGCUCGUAGCGGUUCUGACGUGCAAAUCGAUCGCAGGACUUGGGUAUAGGGGCGAAAGACUAAUCGAACCAUCUAGUAGCUGGUUCCUGCCGAAGUUUCCCUCAGGAUAGCAGAAGCUCGUAUCAGAUUUAUGUGGUAAAGCGAAUGAUUAGAGGCCUUGGGGUUGAAACAACCUUAACCUAUUCUCAAACUUUAAAUAUGUAAGGACGAGCCGUCACUUGAUUGGACCGCUCGACGAUUGAGAGCUUCUAGUGGGCCAUUUUUGGUAAGCAGAACUGGCGAUGCGGGAUGAACCGAUCGCGAGGUUAAGGUGCCGGAAUGCACGCUCAUCAGACACCACAAAAGGUGUUAGUUCAUCUAGACAGCAGGACGGUGGCCAUGGAAGUCGGAAUCCGCUAAGGAGUGUGUAACAACUCACCUGCCGAAUGAACUAGCCCUGAAAAUGGAUGGCGCUCAAGCGUGCUACCCAUACCU